RNAcentral lists this ribosomal RNA (588 nucleotides) under Henosepilachna pytho. RNAcentral's name for it is "partial 16S ribosomal RNA". The record is from RNAcentral. Lineage: Eukaryota; Metazoa; Arthropoda; Insecta; Coleoptera; Coccinellidae.
UUUAUAAUAUAAUAUUCAAUCCUUUCGUACUAAAAUAUUUUUUAUAUUUAAGAUAGAAACCAACCUGGCCUACACCGGUUUAAACUCAGAUCAUGUAAAAUUUUAAAGGUCGAACAGACCUAAUAUUUUAGCUUCUACACCAAAAAUAAAUUUUAAUCCAACAUCGAGGUCGCAAACCUUUUUUUCAAUAAGAACUAUUAAAAAGAUUACGCUGUUAUCCCUAAGGUAAUUUAUUCUUUUAAUCAUUUUUAUGGAUCAAUAAUUCAAUUAAAAUUGUUUUUAUAUAAAAAAAGUUUAUUUAAUUUUUUUGUCACCCCAACAUAACUUAAAUUAAAUUAUAAAAAUAAAAUUCUAAAAUUUUUAAAUUAAUUUUUACUUAAACUCUAUAGGGUCUUCUCGUCUUUAAAUUUAAUUUAAGCUUUUUUACUUAAAAAUAAAAUUAUAAAAUUAAAAUUGAAACAGUAAUUUUCUCAUCAAACCAUUCAUACAAGCUUUCAAUUAAAAAACUAAUGAUUAUGCUACCUUUGCACAGUCAAAAUACUGCGGCCCUUCAAAUUUCGUGGGCAGGCCAAACUUUAAAUUAAAUUC